This 779-nucleotide long non-coding RNA is filed under the name Gallus gallus (chicken). The record is from RNAcentral. Lineage: Eukaryota; Metazoa; Chordata; Aves; Galliformes; Phasianidae.
CGGCAUCUCCUCCUCUCUGAUAGGUUACUUUUCUGAUACCAGCGUAAGUACUAGUGAGUCCAUUUCGCUUCUUUCUGUGGCGAUACAACCAGAUGCUGAAGACCAUGAGGAUAAUCCAACAAGCAGCACCAAUUCCAGCAAUAAAGGCAGGCUGUUUUACUACGUCAGAGAUCUGCUGGGCUAAACUGACUUGAUCUUCUGAAGACACAGGAUUUCCAUGCGAAUCUAACUGGAUAAACUGGGGAUCACUUUUCACUCCAGGUCCUGCUCCAGUACUUGCUGCCACUUCCACGCUGUAUCGAAUACCUGGUACUAGGGAAGGGAUGACUACUGAAAAGGUGGAACCAUCUACUGUCCUGUUUAUAUGGUAUCGACUUUCAUUGCCAAGGCACCAAACCUUGUAUUCUUGAACCAUUCCGUUCUGGUUAUCCUCGGGGGGUGGCUGCCAGGUGACUACAAUUGCAGUUCCAUUCCCAUCAUUUUUAGUUACUGAAACACUCUGAGGUGGAGCACUGGGCGCUUCUUCUAGGGUUUUUGCAAAUUUCACUUCACUAUCUGCGCCUUGAAACUCAUUAAAAAAAGGGCGGGCCUUGAUUUCAUAGUUUACACCUUUCUUCAGCUCUGGAAUGAUAACACUGUUUUUGGUUGGAGUCCUCACUUCAAAAAUUAACCAUUCUGACUCUCCAUAGGACGCUGGUGUUGGCCGGUAUAGGAUUUUAUAUCCUUGAAUAUAUUGGGAUUGCUGGUCCACCUGGAAAAACAGCAGAAGAACACCCAUU